This 445-nucleotide ribosomal RNA is filed under the name uncultured bacterium. Its description in RNAcentral is "partial 16S ribosomal RNA". It matches the Rfam family "Bacterial small subunit ribosomal RNA", at positions 330 to 792 of the family's 1533-position model. The record is from RNAcentral.
GCCAGACUCCUACGGGAGGCAGCAGUGGGGAAUAUUGCACAAUGGGGGAAACCCUGAUGCAGCGACGCCGCGUGAAGGAUGAAGUAUUUCGGUAUGUAAACUUCUAUCAGCAGGGAAGAAAAUGACGGUACCUGACUAAGAAGCCCCGGCUAACUACGUGCCAGCAGCCGCGGUAAUACGUAGGGGGCAAGCGUUAUCCGGAUUUACUGGGUGUAAAGGGGGCGCAGGCGGCCUUGCAAGUCUGAUGUGAAAGGCCGGGGCCCAACCCCGGGACUGCAUUGGAAACUGCGAGGCUGGAGUGUCGGAGAGGCAGGCGGAAUUCCUAGUGUAGUGGUGAAAUGCGUAGAUAUUAGGAGGAACACCAGUGGCGAAGGCGGCCUGCUGGACGAUGACUGACGCUGAGGCUCGAAAGCGUGGGGAGCAAACAGGAUUAGAUACCCCAGUA